GGAAUAAUACGACCGGAAAGGGGUACUAAUACCGGAUAUUCUUGUCUUUUCAUAAGUUAUGACAAGCAAAGGGUGGCCUCUGCAUAUGCUACUGCAUGAAGGAGGGGUCUGCGUACCAUUAGCUAGUAGGUGGGUAAUGGCCUACCUAGGCGACGAUGGUUAGCGGGUCUGAGAGGAUGAUCCGCCACACUGGCACUGGAACGACGGGCCAGACUCCUACGGGAGGCAGCAGUGAGGAAUAUUGCGCAAUGGGGGAAACCCUGACGCAGCGACGCCGCGUGAGUGAAGGAAGGCCUUCGGGUCGUAAAGCUCUGUCAAGAGGAAAGAAGUGUACAAUGGCUAAUACCUGUUGUAUUUGACGGUACCUCUAAAGGAAGCACCGGCUAACUCCGUGCCAGCAGCGGC
This 405-nucleotide ribosomal RNA is filed under the name uncultured bacterium. RNAcentral describes it as "bacterial SSU rRNA". It matches the Rfam family "Bacterial small subunit ribosomal RNA", at positions 140 to 518 of the family's 1533-position model. The record is from RNAcentral.